Molecule: ribosomal RNA, 420 nt
Filed under: uncultured archaeon
Lineage: Archaea
Description: partial 16S ribosomal RNA
Rfam family: Archaeal small subunit ribosomal RNA
Source: RNAcentral
CUACGGGGGGCUGCAGUUGAGGAAAUUUUACAAUGCGCGAAAGCGUGAUAAAAUAAGCCAGAGUGUUUCGUUUUACGAAACUUUUGUCUGCUGUAAAAAAGCAGACGAAUAAGGACUGGGCAAGACCGGUGCCAGCCGCCGCGGUAAUACCGGCGGUCCGAGUCGCAUCCACAUUUAUUGGGUCUAAAACAUCCGUAGCUUGUUUUGUAAGUCUCUUGUGAAAUCUCAUGUCUCAAGCAUGAGGCGGGCAAGAGGUACUGCAUUGCUAGAGACUGGAAGACGUAAGGAGUACGAUUGAGGUAGCGGUAAAAUGUGUUAAUCUUGAUUGGACUAACAAUGGCGAAGGCACCUUACGAGUACGGAUCUGACAGUGAGGGAUGAAGGCUAGGGGCGCAAAAGGGAUUAGAUACCCUCGUAGUC